ACGGGUGAGUAACGCGUGGGUAACCUGCCCUGUACACACGGAUAACAUACCGAAAGGUAUGCUAAUACGAGAUAAUAUGCUUUUAUCGCAUGGUAGAAGUAUCAAAGCUUUUGCGGUACAGGAUGGACCCGCGUCUGAUUAGCUAGUUGGUAAGGUAACGGCUUACCAAGGCGACGAUCAGUAGCCGACCUGAGAGGGUGAUCGGCCACAUUGGAACUGAGACACGGUCCAAACUCCUACGGGAGGCAGCAGUGGGGAAUAUUGCACAAUGGGCGAAAGCCUGAUGCAGCAACGCCGCGUGAGCGAUGAAGGCCUUCGGGUCGUAAAGCUCUGUCCUCAAGGAAGAUAAUGACGGUACUUGAGGAGGAAGCCCCGGCUAACUACGUGCCAGCAGCCGCGGUAAUACGUAGGGGGCUAGCGUUAUCCGGAAUUACUGGGCGUAAAGGGUGCGUAGGUGGUUUCUUAAGUCAGAGGUGAAAGGCUACGGCUCAACCGUAGUAAGCCUUUGAAACUGGGAAACUUGAGUGCAGGAGAGGAGAGUGGAAUUCCUAGUGUAGCGGUGAAAUGCGUAGA
This 573-nucleotide ribosomal RNA is filed under the name uncultured bacterium. RNAcentral's name for it is "bacterial SSU rRNA". It matches the Rfam family "Bacterial small subunit ribosomal RNA", at positions 102 to 694 of the family's 1533-position model. The record is from RNAcentral.